UAACACCUCAAAGCCCUGGGUUCCAAGUUUCACACGAGGAAUCAAUCCACUUUGCUGUGCAGCCAUUUUGGUUUCUCAGUAAUAUCAAACUCCUAAUUGCAUAUAUCCAAUCCCCUUUGCAUCUAUAUAUAACAAGUGCUUAAUUUCACUUCUUUUCUUUGAUCUUUAAUUUCGUCACUGGAUGUGUCAGCAGGGUUCAUUGUUUUCAUCACUGAAUAUGUCACUAUAUAGCGAUGAGGUCUUCUGAAAGAAACAGAAGAUUCAAGGAUUGUAUAUUAUAUUCCCACCAUUGAUAACAGAUUCCUAUCUGGGACGUAUAUGGGUGGCAUAGAAUUGAUGGCAGCAUGAGAGAGGAUGAUGAGGUACCGAAGUGCGUUCCUAUCAUCAAAGUUCCAUGAACCAAAUCGCCCCUCUCUACGGCACGACGGCGUCACCAAAGGGCGAUUCUCUAAAUCAGAUACAAUACCCUCUAUUUCGUAGAAACCCUAAAUCAGAUAGAGGCCGAUGCUCUACAUCAUAUCUUCCAUAAAGCUUACUAACGUGUCUGAAAGGGAACAACAUUCAGGGUAUUCCAUGUGAGAGCUUGAACAUCACAAAAUAUGAUUGAAAACUGAGCAUAGGAAGAGCUAUACGCAGGUGAUGACUACAAGAUCAAGGUUUGGAACUAAAAGUUGUACAUGGGAUUGUUCACUCUUCUGGGUCACCUUGAUUACAUUCGCACCGUCCUCACUAGCCAGCAAGAGAGGUUGGGGAAGGAAGCCGAUUUCUGAAUCAUGUGUUCUCUCGCCUGCAAUAUUUCACACAUAUACCAGGAACCAUUUUUGUUUUCAUGGUGCAGCCUCAGAUUACAACAGCUGCUAUGAAGUUCACAUCCAACCCUACUAUUGCUUAUUGCAGGACCUUGCCUAAAGUUCAUUUGCUAUGAAUUCUCGAACUUUAAUAUUGAGGUGAGUUAUGAAGAACUAUAUCUAGAACUAAAUCCUAUUCUGUUCUUGUGCCAAUUUUUAAGUACUUUUGAUCUGUGAUGUUUUUUCUCUAUUUAAUUCUCUGUUUGUUUGCUGAUCAAAAUCUAACUCUCAAUGUUUGUCAAUAAUGCAUGCUUAGUCUAUCAUAACAUCAUAUCUGAUGCUACAGAUAGAGUUUUGCAUGAGAUUUCAAAGAGCUUUUGAUAAGAUGUAUUUGUUGUCUCUCCAGAUAAUUUAUCCUAAUAAUUGUUUUUAAGUAUGAGUAGUUAAAGUGAAUCAGUAGAGAUUCUUUUCUCCUAAGAUUGAUAUUUGUGAUGGAAACUACCUUUAUUCUCAUAGUUGAUUGUAUCAGUUUGAGGUCCUUGGGAGGAGACGAUAGUUGUCGCAGGUUCAUCAAGGUUCAUGCUUUCCCUGUUAACUUUCUUACCCUUUUGCAAUCCUUUUCAUCUCACUUUAUUUCUGCAUUGGUUCUUUUUAGUUCUAAAUCAAUAUAAGUUUUUGAGAAUGUCAACGAGAGAUUGAAUUGAGCAAAUAUCUCACAUGUCACAUUUUGGUUCUAUUCUACAAUCAUUGUGCCAGCGGAGUAAGAAAACUAUAGGGAAUGUUGUUUGGAAUCUGUUUUGGGUGGUUUAAAGGGCACUGAGCCAAUACUUAUUGUGAUUGCUUUUAACAUUGAACAAGCAACUAUCCCUUAAAUUUUCAUUUACCUAAAGAAAUUUAAAUAAUCUCUUCAGUUUGCGAUAUAGUGAGAGAAAGCAUUACCCUUCUCAAAAACUAAUUUAUAAACCACCAAAAUUCAAAAUGAGCAAAACUCAUCUCUUAAUGCUCCUACCUUGUGUACAUUUCAGAUUAGCUUCCUCUGGAAAAUCAAUCAAAAUUCAAAUGCUUCAAGCUUCUGAAGCUUGCUACCAAACUAUGUCCAUAAGUAACUAUGGUACAAAAUCUACAUCAUGUUAUCCUUGCUAAAUAUAGGACUUCAGAGGUCACAACAUCAACCAAAUUGGUCGUAGAAACUUUGUAUACGAUAUAAUGUUGAAUUGUAUCCAAACUCACAGAAGGUUUUCCAGUAGAAGUCACUUGAGUGUAACACGCUCAACCUAAUAAUUUACAAUACCUUGGUAAUCUUCUGUAUAAUGAAGACAUUCUCUUUGCCAUUACGCUUAACGACAUUCUUUUUUUCUUUUUCAUAUGCCAGUUGUUUAUAACUUCUCUCCACAUUUCUAUUGAUGGUAUCUCAUAUAUUGCAUUCAGUGUGUGUGUUGAUAGUCGUUUUGAGGAACUUGGGUGGCAUGUCUUUGGGCAAUAAAUGGUUACACUAGCUAUGAUGAUAGUCAUGCUACCAUUAAGGAGCAAAAGCUGUCAGAGACAAACCCACACCAUUUAAUUUUUGGCAUCCAAUCAGAACUAGCAGAAUCUGUCAUUCUUGUGGCACUGAUGUGUUUAGAGACUCUUCUUUCCUUCAAAAACUAAAAUUUGAUCUUUUAAACAUCAAGAUGCAUCUUCCUAAAUUUAUAGAAUGCAGCUUUGUGAGAUGAAUAAGGUCUGAGGAAUGAGGGAUUGGGAUUGAGCAGGCUUCUAAGUGGAAGUGUGCUAUUUUUUAUCAGCAUGUAAGUAAUUAAAAAAGAAAUUAACAAACCCAAAGACUACUAAACUAUCAAGUGAUGGCUCAAUGGUCUCACCUGGUGUAUUAAGGUUGUUCAAUUUUAUCUUUAAUUCAAUGCUAUGAUGAGUUCUAAUUGUUUUGAAGCUCUUGACCAUUGAUUCAAUGAAUAAUUGAUUAGUGACCUUUUUCAAUGCACAUGCUCAGUUGCUCUAUGACUGUACUCUGUAGAAGAAAAUUGAUUGUUGUCAUGAGGGUCCAAAUUAACAUUAAGUUUAUUUAAGUUUCUCACAGCCAUUUUUUCAAGCACUGUGCCACAAGAAAGAAGACAUACUUCUCUAUUUUUUUACUUUUAUUUUGCUUCACAUAAUUGCUAAAGGGGAUCCAUCAGAUUCUAUUUAUAUGGAGGUAGAGCGGGAAAGGUUGUCAUAUAAUAACCAAACUUUCUCACAAUGCAAUAAGUCUGGAAGGGUGGACAAACCUUGACCCCUGAGUCAAGGGAACAUCUCAUAUAUAUUGAGGUUUUAUGAUUAAACUUUCUAUUUAUACUCAUUGUUAUGAAUAAAAUUUACAUUUGUUUGUUGAAAACAUGAGAUAGCUUAAAAGAGAGGCAGAUAUUGAGCACACAUGCAGAAGAGGAAAUCAAAAUCUGGUAGAAUGAACCUAUAUUCGAGAUGGUGCCUUCCUUUGAGCUUGAAGCAAAGGAGUUUACAACUCAACUGGCUCAUCGCCUGUGGACUGACAUAGAGGACAUGGAACACUUUACAAAGAGUGGAACUUUUAAGGAGAUAUUUGGACUCAACUUUGCCCCACAAUUUUCAAGUAGGAAAUCAUUUUGUUGACAGCCAGUGCGUGGCAUCUUUUAUGAGUUUUAAUGUAGUUUGAUAUGGCCAUGUAAAAAUUUCCCAUCUCUAUGUAUAACAUAGUGAAUUCUUUUUUCUGAAACUAUAGAAACAAUUUGAUUUAUGUUGUAUGUUUUUUACUCUUAUUGUCAGAGAUUUGUUUAUCUGUUGUA
Long non-coding RNA from Lotus japonicus, 3580 nucleotides. RefSeq lists it as uncharacterized. The transcript has 5 exons. The record is from RefSeq and is a predicted model, not a curated record. Lineage: Eukaryota; Viridiplantae; Streptophyta; Magnoliopsida; Fabales; Fabaceae.